ACAAAACAAUAUAAUGAAAUAUAGAGAAAUGUUGAAAAACAACAGUGGUAUAUAUAAUAUGACCCCAAUUUUUAAUCCAACACUACCUUGAUAAAUUCAGACUAUUAAUGCAAUUUUUCUUUAGGAUUCAGGACAUUCUUAAAGUGAACAGUCCAAAUUGUAUUUGCUGUCUAGAAAACCAACAGAAGUGUAGCUUAUCAAGGAAAAAGAUGAGAAGCUCCAUAAAAUUAUAAAAAGGAAGCAACAAAUUCCUGAAAAAUUUAGACCAUGUACACAAUCAAUUCAUAUUGUUCAAAGCAUGAGUCCUAAUUAAUUAGAAUAACAGCAGUAACAACUAUUAAGUACCUGCAUUUGGGAAUACUCUUAUUGCCUACCAAAAAGAAAAAUAAAACUACACCAAUUCAUAAUUUAUGCCAUGCAACUAAUGAGAAAUAUUGAGUUACUUUACAAUCCAUCAUUCACCUAUCUGAGCACAUAAUAUUUUUCAGCCCUAUGAAAUACCAAGUUCUUUAAUAGGGCAUGGAGAUCCCAAAGAUGAAUUAGACAGAAAUCUUGCCCUUAAGCAGGUCAAAACCUACUGGGUGAUCCAGGUAGGUAGACACUGACAUUGAAUGUGAUAAGCUCAACACUGAAGUUGUACAUAAAGGCUACGAAGACAGUGCAGCUGUAGGUCUUGGGUAAAUGGGAAAAGUUUUCAGAGAGGUUGAUUCUAGGCUGUCUUAAAAACUGUGAGGAGGUUGCCAAAUAGACAAAGGAGGGAAAGGCAUUCCCAGGAGAGAAUAACAGGUUCAAAAGCUUAGAGAUGGAAGAGGAUGCUUCCAAUCUGGGAAUCCCAGACAUUUUAGUAGAACUAGAAUGCAAGAUACUAGAUCUGUAGAGAAUGGGAAGAGUUGAAGUAAGCAGGGGGAAAAAGUGUCUUAAUGCUAUUCUAAAUAGUUUGGGUUUCAUAGCAGAGAGCCCAGAAAAUAUUUGGGACUGAGUAGUGACAUGAUCUCAUUUGUGUAUCAGAAAGAUUAUUCUAGGAUGAAUUUGGAGGCACUGAGGCUUAUUUUGGAGUUGGACUUAGACCUGCAGACACUUAUCACUGUUAGAUGGGCCCUUCCAAGAGAAUUUGUAAACAGAGAUCUUGCUCUCAGGAAAUUUAACAUUUAAUUCAUAGAACCCAAAAUCACAGCCUACAGAGAAAUGCACUUUCUUAAGGUAAUGUGUUCUGUUUGCCAGCACUUUGACACAAAGAGAAGUGCUGGCUUCAUAGAAAUAAUUAAUCCUCUUUUUCUGCCACUGGGAUAAACAAAGGAAAGAAAGAAAUAGAUGUUAUAAAAAAAUAAAAUCCAAGGCAGAUCAAAGGGGAUGUGGCGGAGGAUUCAGCAACUGCCACCCUUAAGCAAAGAACAGUAAUGAAGAAAUGAGUUUUGGCAGCCUAGCCAAUGGGAUAUGAAAGAAAUUAAUCCCGAAGGGAUGUAAUGACCUGAAAAAAAUGAUGAGCAAAGUCCAGAAGGAUUAGAAGAAAGAAAAAGGCAGCAGACAGAAUGGACUUCAGUGCAACAGGGAAUUAAACUGAAAUCAUUAAAUUCUUUCUGCUUAGCACUUUAGAGAAAAUUUCUAUCAGCCUGCCUAAGUGCUCACCAUGGGAAACUGAAACCAGGAAUUUAAUCUCAAAUUUCUGAAGACAUUCAGACUUAUCCAUUGUUCUAUGAAUCAGGAAUAUGUUAACAGAAGUUCUGGUUAUUGAAGAAUCUUCAGAAUGAAAAUCAAAUUAUGAAAUCCCCAGGUAAUUUGACUUCAUGGCCAGCAUUGCAUCUCAGAAUAUUUUUUAUAAGGGCUACAAAAGUGUGACUAUUAAGCUUUUAAAAAAAAUUAAAAUAUCUUUUCAGUUGUAAUAUUCCCACCAUGGGUGAAGUCUGCUGUCUGAUUGCUAGAAUUUUGGCCGAUGCCUUCUUGCACCUCUAUGAACCCGACUCCAGCCCCUCCCCUCUAAUUACUGCCCACAGUGAAGAGAGAAUUUCUGCCCACUCCCUGCAAGCCCAGGUAGGGGAGCAUUUGCCAAGAAGCCUGCCCUUUACCGCAAGUGUGCAAAGUGGCAACCGCAGCUGACAACAUCCCCAGGGGCCCUGUCUUGUGGUCUGGCCGCAGUGAGAAUUUUCUCGGCUUCCUAGGGGAGAGGGCACUGACCCAGCUUUCAGCUGGAGCCUGCUGCUGGAGAACUAAUUACUAGUGUGAAAAAAGCCUGGAUUCAGGUCAAUGUUUUCUCAAACAUUGUUUACAUUUGAUUUUAAAUCCAUACAAUGGCAGAAUUGACAUUUGCAGCUUGCUACCACAUUCAUUUGUGAGGUUUUAUGUUACUUUAUUUUUAGGUUGGAAAUGUUUGAGGAGGCAUUUAUCAUGAAAGCCGUGGCCUUUGCUCCUAAAGCUUCGUCUCACAAGUACAAUAACAAAAACUGCUAAUUAAAAGAGGGAAAACAACCAGGAGUCAAACACAAAGGGGCAUCCCUGCCUCAUCAGCACAGAACAAUCGACCGGCUCCCUUCACUGCCCAUGCGAGGCUCCAUGUGAGGAAGCCUGCUCUGCCCUUCCAGGAAGCAGGUGUGGGAAUAGAAGGAGGCACCACUCAUCUUCUGCAGAAAAGCAAAAUGAAGACAUCAUCAGAGAGCAGCACUCAUUGGAAGUAGCUCCUCGGGUUCCCUUCUAAUGUCAGGGUGAGAAUUCAGGGCUCUCUUGAGAGCACUAUUAUGUGCCUACUAUGUGUCAGGCAGAACUGGCUACAAAAUUCAAGGGGCCCAGAGUGAAAUGAAAAUGUGAGGUACCUUGUUCAAUAAUUAUGAAGAAUUCUAGGAUGGCGAGAGCAGAGCAUUAGAGGAAAGGCAAGGUCCUGUGCAGCUGCGCGGGUCACACACCCAUGCAGCCAACCCUGGUGCCAGGCACAGCUAUACCCACAUUAGCUCCUGUCUUUUACUGAAUAGCACAAUAACUCUGCAAUACUGGAGGUUUUUAACAUUAUCCAGGCUUUACAGAAGAAGCUACCGAAGCUCAGAAAGUCAUUUUAUUCAAGGCCAAUCAGCUAAUUAGAGCUCAGGUCUCCUACUAAACACCAGAAUCACAGCUAGCCACUCCACAACAUACAGAGGUCAGUAAACCACUCAACAUUGUAUCUGAACUUCCAGUCUUCCAAUAUCUGAACUCAAUCAGGUAAGUCUCCUAAACACGCCCUACCUGUUCUAUCUGUGCUUUGCUCAGUUUUCACCAAAUAGGUAUUAGCUAAAUAAACAUGUGGAUGAACACAGCAUCCAUUACAAUAGUAAUAUAAUAUUAUCAUACUUACAUUGUAUAAUAUAAUAAUGUACUUCAUUCAAUUCUCUACAUUUUUUAAAGUAUUGUCACAUAUUUUAUUUUUUUCUAGGAAAUUUUUAUUGCUGAGUGUUUUAAAUUAUACUCAUGAUUUAUAAAUUCUCACAAUUCUGAGCCUGCUAUAGGACAAGAGAUGUAUCUGCCAACAUUCAUUCAAAGUUGUUGGCUAAGCACUGUGCUAGCCACUGGGGAUGCAUGCAUAUACACAAAUGCUCUAGUGCAUUUCUUUCCCUUAAAGGCCUUGCCAUCUAACAGGACUGACAGGAAAACUACAGAAAGCACAGUAGUGUGGUAAGUGCACGAGUAGGGUAUGGACAGGCUCAGCAGGGUCUGAAAUAAAUCAGACCUGGGACUUGUGAAAUGUUUACAAAGAACAAGAUGCUUUUUAAAGGUGCAUAAAAGGUGUUUGUUUUGUUUUGUUUUUGAGACAGGGUCUCACUCUGUCGCCCAGA
RNAcentral lists this long non-coding RNA (3797 nucleotides) under Homo sapiens (human). Its description in RNAcentral is "HSALNT0348451". Lineage: Eukaryota; Metazoa; Chordata; Mammalia; Primates; Hominidae. The record is from RNAcentral.